Hyla sarda is the source of this 75-nucleotide non-coding RNA. Lineage: Eukaryota; Metazoa; Chordata; Amphibia; Anura; Hylidae. The record is from the annotation of a RefSeq genome assembly.
GGUUAUUGUAGUGUAGUGGUUAUCACGUUCGCCUCACACGCGAAAGGUCCCUGGUUCGAAACCGGGCAGAAACCA